CGGGAGAUAGCUGGUUCUCCCCGAAAGCUAUUUAGGUAGCGCCUCGUGAAUUCAUCUCCGGGGGUAGAGCACUGUUUCGGCAAGGGGGUCAUCCCGACUUACCAACCCGAUGCAAACUGCGAAUACCGGAGAAUGUUAUCACGGGAGACACACGGCGGGUGCUAACGUCCGUCGUGAAGAGGGAAACAACCCAGACCGCCAGCUAAGGUCCCAAAGUCAUGGUUAAGUGGGAAACGAUGUGGGAAGGCCCAGACAGCCAGGAUGUUGGCUUAGAAGCAGCCAUCAUUUAAAGAAAGCGUAAUAGCUCACUGGUCGAGUCGGCCUGCGCGGAAGAUGUAACGGGGCUAAACCAUGCACCGAAGCUGCGGCAGCGACGCUUAUGCGUUGUUGGGUAGGGGAGCGUUCUGUAAGCCUGCGAAGGUGUGCUGUGAGGCAUGCUGGAGGUAUCAGAAGUGCGAAUGCUGACAUAAGUAACGAUAAAGCGGGUGAAAAGCCCGCUCGCCGGAAGACCAAGGGUUCCUGUCCAACGUUAAUCGGGGCAGGGUGAGUCGACCCCUAAGGCGAGGCCGAAAGGCGUAGUCGAUGGGAAACAGGUUAAUAUUCCUGUACUUGGUGUUACUGCGAAGGGGGGACGGAGAAGGCUAUGUUGGCCGGGCGACGGUUGUCCCGGUUUAAGCGUGUAGGCUGGUUUUCCAGGCAAAUCCGGAAAAUCAAGGCUGAGGCGUGAUGACGAGGCACUACGGUGCUGAAGCAACAAAUGCCAUGCUUCCAGGAAAAGCCUCUAAGCAUCAGGUAACAUCAAAUCGUACCCCAAACCGACACAGGUGGUCAGGUAGAGAAUACCAAGGCGCUUGAGAGAACUCGGGUGAAGGAACUAGGCAAAAUGGUGCCGUAACUUCGGGAGAAGGCACGCUGAUAUGUAGGUGAAGCGACUUGCUCGUGGAGCUGAAAUCAGUCGAAGAUACCAGCUGGCUGCAACUGUUUAUUAAAAACACAGCACUGUGCAAACACGAAAGUGGACGUAUACGGUGUGACGCCUGCCCGGUGCCGGAAGGUUAAUUGAUGGGGUCAGCGCAAGCGAAGCUCUUGAUCGAAGCCCCGGUAAACGGCGGCCGUAACUAUAACGGUCCUAAGGUAGCGAAAUUCCUUGUCGGGUAAGUUCCGACCUGCACGAAUGGCGUAAUGAUGGCCAGGCUGUCUCCACCCGAGACUCAGUGAAAUUGAACUCGCUGUGAAGAUGCAGUGUACCCGCGGCAAGACGGAAAGACCCCGUGAACCUUUACUAUAGCUUGACACUGAACAUUGAGCCUUGAUGUGUAGGAUAGGUGGGAGGCUUUGAAGUGUGGACGCCAGUCUGCAUGGAGCCGACCUUGAAAUACCACCCUUUAAUGUUUGAUGUUCUAACGUUGACCCGUAAUCCGGGUUGCGGACAGUGUCUGGUGGGUAGUUUGACUGGGGCGGUCUCCUCCUAAAGAGUAACGGAGGAGCACGAAGGUUGGCUAAUCCUGGUCGGACAUCAGGAGGUUAGUGCAAUGGCAUAAGCCAGCUUGACUGCGAGCGUGACGGCGCGAGCAGGUGCGAAAGCAGGUCAUAGUGAUCCGGUGGUUCUGAAUGGAAGGGCCAUCGCUCAACGGAUAAAAGGUACUCCGGGGAUAACAGGCUGAUACCGCCCAAGAGUUCAUAUCGACGGCGGUGUUUGGCACCUCGAUG
Molecule: ribosomal RNA, 1710 nt
Filed under: Escherichia coli
Lineage: Bacteria; Pseudomonadati; Pseudomonadota; Gammaproteobacteria; Enterobacterales; Enterobacteriaceae
Description: partial 23S ribosomal RNA
Rfam family: Bacterial large subunit ribosomal RNA
Source: RNAcentral